This 253-nucleotide ribosomal RNA is filed under the name uncultured bacterium. RNAcentral's name for it is "partial 16S ribosomal RNA". It matches the Rfam family "Bacterial small subunit ribosomal RNA", at positions 524 to 776 of the family's 1533-position model. The record is from RNAcentral.
UACGUAGGGUCCGAGCGUUGUCCGGAAUUAUUGGGCGUAAAGGGCUCGUAGGCGGUUUGUCGCGUCGGGAGUGAAAACACCGGGCUUAACUCGGUGCUUGCUUCCGAUACGGGCAGACUGGAGGUAUGCAGGGGAGAACGGAAUUCCUGGUGUAGCGGUGAAAUGCGCAGAUAUCAGGAGGAACACCGGUGGCGAAGGCGGUUCUCUGGGCAUUACCUGACGCUGAGGAGCGAAAGCGUGGGGAGCGAACAGG